RNAcentral lists this long non-coding RNA (417 nucleotides) under Equus caballus (horse). Its description in RNAcentral is "lncRNA (ENSECAG00000049323.1)". The record is from RNAcentral. Lineage: Eukaryota; Metazoa; Chordata; Mammalia; Perissodactyla; Equidae.
CUGCAUGAUAUUAGCUUUAUGUGGAAUCUAAAAAAGCCAAACACAGAGAAACAGAGAGUAGAGUGGUGGUUGCCAGGGACUGAGAGGGAAGUGAUAAAUUUAUUACCUUGGUGGGAAGGAGGUAAGAAAAGGAAAACAAGGCCAGGUGGAGGAAACAAUGGACAAUCUUUUUUGCAAAGAAAGGAUCUGGAAGGUGUGCUUAUGAAGAGUGUAUUCCGCAGUUUGUCUAGUGCAAAGCUGUUAAACCAUGAUGUGCCUACUUCUAUAUCACCAAUUAAAUUCCUAUAUGACUCAAACUUGCCACAUGUAACAACUAAUAACCCUGGACAAAAUACAAAAGAAAAAAAAAGGUACUUCACAGUGAAUGAAUAUUCACUCAAGAUUUCUUGAGGAGACUGAAAACUUAGAAGAAGAGGA